GACGAACGCCGGCGGCGUGCUUAACACAUGCAAGUCGAACGGUGAAGCGCCUUCCUUUUUGGUGGGUGUGGAUGAGUGGCGAACGGGUGAGUAACACGUGAGUAACCUGCCCCCUUCUUCUGGAUAACCGCAUGAAAGUGUGGCCAAUACGGGAUAUUCUGGGUCUGUCGCAUGAUGGGUCUGGGAAAGAUAUUGUUUCGGUGGGGGAUGGGCUCGCGGCCUAUCAGCUUGUUGGUGGGGUGAUGGCCUACCAAGGCGGUGACGGGUAGCCGGCCUGAGAGGGUGGACGGUCACACUGGGGCUGAGACACGGCCCAGACUCCUACGGGCGGCAGCAGUGGAGACUAUUGCACAGUGGGCGCAAGCCUGAUGCCGCGACGCCGCGUGAGGGAUGGAGGCCUUCGGGUUGUGAACCUCUUUCGCCAGUGAAGCAGGCCUGCCUCGUUUGUGGGUGGGUUGACGGUAGCUGGAUAAGAAGCGCCGGCUAACUACGUG
This 494-nucleotide ribosomal RNA is filed under the name uncultured bacterium. RNAcentral describes it as "partial 16S ribosomal RNA". It matches the Rfam family "Bacterial small subunit ribosomal RNA", at positions 28 to 507 of the family's 1533-position model. The record is from RNAcentral.